Molecule: microRNA, 22 nt
Filed under: Bos taurus (domestic cattle)
Lineage: Eukaryota; Metazoa; Chordata; Mammalia; Artiodactyla; Bovidae
Also listed under: 1 other name
Description: Bta-Mir-3431_3p* (star (passenger))
Source: RNAcentral
AUCUAGAGGACUGACUGAAAUU